This 167-nucleotide non-coding RNA is filed under the name unclassified sequences. The record is from Rfam.
ACGCUACGCUGUUUAGAUGCUGUAGAAUUAUGCUUCACAAAUAGAAAUGCCCCACCAUGGACGGUGGGGCAAGGCGUUACGCACCACGGACGGUGCGUAAAAGCCGGUUUCGUCAUUCUGUGAAACUCUAUAUGCAUAAUUCAUACAGCAUCUUAACUGCAAAGCGU